Oncorhynchus keta (chum salmon) is the source of this 1044-nucleotide long non-coding RNA. RefSeq lists it as uncharacterized. The transcript has 3 exons. Lineage: Eukaryota; Metazoa; Chordata; Actinopteri; Salmoniformes; Salmonidae. The record is from RefSeq and is a predicted model, not a curated record.
AUAGUCUAUAGGUAGUUAGUCUAUAGGUAGUUAGUCUAUAGGUAGUUAGUCUAUAGGUAGUUACAGUCUAUAGGUAGUUACAGUCAAUAGGUAGUUACAGUCUAUAGGUAGUUAGUCUAUAGGUAGUUAUAGUCUAUAGGUAGUUACAGUCUAUAGGUAGUUACAGUCUAUAGGUAGUUAGUCUAUAGGUAGUUACAGUCUAUAGGUAGUUAGUCUAUAGGUAGUUAGUCUAUAGGUAGUUACAGUCUAUAGGUAGUUACAGUCUAUAGGUAGUUACAGUCUAUAGGUAGUUACAGUCUAUAGGUAGUUAGUCUAUAGGUAGUUAUAGUCUAUAUGUAGUUAGUGUAUAGGUAGUUACAGUCUAUAGGUAGUUAGUCUACAUGUAGUUACAGUCUAUAGGUAGUUACAGUCUAUAGGUAGUUAGUCUAUAGGUAGUUAGUCUAUAGGUAGUUACAGUCUAUAGGUUGUUAGUCUAUAGGGAUUUACAGUCUAUAGAUAGUUAGUCUAUAGGUAGUUAGUCUAUAGGGAGUUACAGUCUGUAGGGAGUUACAGUCUAUAGGUAGUUACAGUCUAUAGGUAGUUAGUCUAUAGGUAGUUAGUCUAUAGGUAGUUACAGUCUAUAGGUAGUUACAGUCUAUAGGUAGUUAGUCUAUAGGUAGUUAGUCUAUAGGUAGUUAGUCUAUAGGUAGUUACAGUCUAUAGGUAGUUACAGUCUAUAGGUAGUUAGUCUAUAGGUAGUUAGUCUAUAGGUAGUUAGUCUAUAGGUAGUUAGUCUAUAGGUAGUUAUAGUCUAUAGGUAGUUAUAGUCUAUAGGUAGUUACAGUCUAUAGGUAGUUAUAGUCUAUAGGUAGUUAUAGUCUAUAGGUAGUUACAGUCUAUAGGUAGUUAUAGUCUAUAGGUAGUUAUAGUCUAUAGGUAGUUACAGUCUAUAGGUAGUUAUAGUCUAUAGGUAGUUACAGUCUAUAGGUAGUUAUAGUCUAUAGGUAGGGCCUUGGGCUUAAACCUGGUUCGGUAAGGUGGUGAGGUAUAACUUCUGGUCCCAAA